Long non-coding RNA from Bos taurus (domestic cattle), 638 nucleotides. NCBI's taxonomy places the organism in Eukaryota, Metazoa, Chordata, Mammalia, Artiodactyla, Bovidae. The record is from Ensembl.
GGGGCGUGGGGAUGGGGCGGGGCAACUGUCCAGACUUCUCCAGGUAAAGAGGCUCCUCUCCGCUUACUGGCAAGUCGCGGUAAGAGUGCAGGUGUGAGCAGUUAGCAGCUAAUAGAGCAGGUUGGGUUUUAGAAACACCGUUCUGAGAUUUGCCUAGAAGAGGAAUUGCCAAGGAUAUGCACAGCAUCUACAUUGGAAGAUACUACCUGGCUUUGCAAAACAGUUUUUACUGAUUUAUUUUUCUGCCAGCUGGUGAAAUCCCCACAAGGUGUAAGAAGUUAACUGUAUGCUGCCCACAAGCCCCAGGCCAGGUGGGUCCAGGUUGAUGAUGCCAACUCCACAUUGUCCCGCUCCUUGGUCGGCCUUUGCAAUAAACUUGCACUUUCCUUCACCACAGAGUGGUGUCAGUAGCUCGGCUUUACUGAGCAGGACCCCUCCUAGAGCUGAAGGAUUUAUAUUGACUGUCCAGACUGAAGUAGAAAAGAAGAAUUCAGCAGUGUGACUGCAAUGAUCACCUCAUUUCAGAUUUCUCUUCCCCUCUUGUUACUCACAAACCCUAUCACUCAGCACCCUUCAUAUGUACGAGAACCUUCAGCAUGAUGAUUCUGUCCAUUUUUUUUCUUCAUUAAAUGCUGUUU